Molecule: small RNA, 413 nt
Filed under: Pan troglodytes (chimpanzee)
Lineage: Eukaryota; Metazoa; Chordata; Mammalia; Primates; Hominidae
Description: processed transcript
Source: RNAcentral
GGAAGGGCCUCCCCAGAUGUGCUCUCGAGGCCAGCUGUCUGCGUGGAGGAGGCACCUCCUGGAAGGGGACUAUCUCAGCAAAAACUCAUCAUCAGGCUGUUAACUUCAACAUUUUCGAGGGCAUGGUUUGCCACGGGGUGCCCCUUGUGACUAUUUCAAGAGGCAAAGUGGUAUAUGAAGCCGGAGUGUUCAGUGUCACGGCAGGAGAUGGGAAGUUUAUUCCUCGAAAACCAUUUGCUGAAUAUAUUUACAAACGAAUAAAGCAGCGAGACCGGACUUGCACACCUACCCCUGUGGAGCGUGCACCCUAUAAGGGAGAAGUCGCCACACUGAAAUCCAGAGUGACAAAAGAAGAUGCCACAGCAGGGACCAGGAAACAGGCCCACCCCUGAAGUAUGUGCCGUCGGUAAGGG